UCGCUUUGGCAGCACAUCUACUAAAAUUGGAAUGAUACAGAGAAGAUUAGCAUGGCCCCUGCUCAAGGAUGAUUAUAUAUAUUAUUUCUUUUCUCUUAGUCUU
Molecule: small nuclear RNA, 103 nt
Organism: Euleptes europaea (tarantolino)
Lineage: Eukaryota; Metazoa; Chordata; Lepidosauria; Squamata; Sphaerodactylidae
Source: RefSeq, a predicted model, not a curated record